AGUGAACGCUGACGGUAGGCCUAACACAUGCCAGUCGAACGGCAGCACAGUAAGAGCUUGCUCUUACGGGUGGCGAGUGGCGGACGGGUGAGGAAUACAUCGGAAUCUACUUUUUCGUGGGGGAUAACGUAGGGAAACUUACGCUAAUACCGCAUACGACCUACGGGUGAAAGCAGGGGAUCUUCGGACCUUGCGCGAUUGAAUGAGCCGAUGUCGGAUUAGCUAGUUGGCGGGGUAAAGGCCCACCAAGGCGACGAUCCGUAGCUGGUCUGAGAGGAUGAUCAGCCACACUGGAACUGAGACACGGUCCAGACUCCUACGGGAGGCAGCAGUGGGGAAUAUUGGACAAUGGGCGCAAGCCUGAUCCAGCCAUACCGCGUGGGUGAAGAAGGCCUUCGGGUUGUAAAGCCCUUUUGUUGGGAAAGAAAAGCAGCAGGUUAAUACCCCGCUGUUCUGACGGUACCCAAAGAAUAAGCACCGGCUAACUUCGUG
Molecule: ribosomal RNA, 492 nt
Filed under: uncultured bacterium
Lineage: Bacteria
Description: partial 16S ribosomal RNA
Rfam family: Bacterial small subunit ribosomal RNA
Source: RNAcentral